CCUACGAGGGUCUGCAGUGGGGAAUCUUGGGCAAUGGGCGAAAGCCUGACCCAGCAACGCCGCGUUAAGGAAGAAGGCUUUCGGGUUGUAAACUUCUUUUGACAGGGAAGAGCAGAAGACGGUACCUGUCGAAUAAGCCACGGCUAACUACGUGCGAGCAGCAGCGGUAAUACGUAGGUGGCAAGCGUUGUCCGGAUUUACUGGGGUUAAAGGGCGUGUAGCCGGGCUGACAAGGCAGAUGUGAAAGGCGGGGGCUCAACCCCCGAACUGCAUUUGAAACUGUUGGUCUUGAGUAUCGGAGAGGCAGGCGGAAUUCCUAGUGUAGCGGUGAAAUGCGUAGAUAUUAGGAGGAACACCAGUGGCGAAGGCGGCCUGCUGGACGACAACUGACGGUGAGGCGCGAAAGCGUGGGGAGCAAACAGGAUUAGAUACCCCGGUAGUC
RNAcentral lists this ribosomal RNA (442 nucleotides) under uncultured bacterium. RNAcentral's name for it is "partial 16S ribosomal RNA". It matches the Rfam family "Bacterial small subunit ribosomal RNA", at positions 338 to 795 of the family's 1533-position model. The record is from RNAcentral.